UUAAUUAUUUUUAAUGACAUAUUCUGCACCAUAUCUAUAUGUAUCUUUUAAAUUUGGAAACCUUUAAGUGCACAAUACACAUGUGAGAUUCACAAAUAGGCUCUUGUUGAUGGUAAUGAUAGAAUAAAUUUUAGCAUUCCGUAUGGAGAAGUCCAAUCCCAAGUGUGUACAGUGACAAUGAAUUGGCGGUUGUUGAAUCCUAGUGUUCCCUUUGGCCAUUAACAUUGAUACAGGAGCAGCAAAGCAAAAUCCUGGGGCAGACAGAAGUGGAGCUACAGGGCUGGGAAAAUGAACAACUGUGGGGUGGAGGUGGAAACAUCAGUAGCAACAGGCGCCAAGUCUAAACACACCACAUGCUUGAAAACUAACAUUCAAGACUUGAUUUGAGUUCAGAACCCAUGGGGUUCUGAAGGAAGCCCAGCAGGGGACCUUGGAAGCUCUUUCCUCAUCCCAGUGGAGCUAUUUAAGCAGAGCUCCCCUCGGGAGGCCCUCUUUUGACAGCCCUGUGGAUAUCCCUCCACUAAGCUCAAAGGCAUGGUCCUGGCUUCCGACAAACAUGAGAGUGGCCAGGUGACUCUGACCUCCUUCUCCUGUCCCUGGAGAUUUGGUCUGAUCAUCCAGAGACAGUGUUAUACUUUCCUCACAUUCACUUUCACUCUGACUUCCAGUUCCCUACAGGAUCUAAGUGUCUGUCAAGCAUAUCCAUAAGUCAGACAACAUAUUGGCCACGGCCUAAAUAAAGGAAUAUACAAGUUAACCCUUUUCCUGUUUAGAAAAAAAAAAGUGCAGCUCACUGCCAAUGCUCAUUUAAUUGUACAUAAACACAGUAUUUGAGGCUGAAGCAAAUCUAACUCAUUUUCAAUGUGAAAAUAAAAUCUAAAAACUGUUCUUAGAGUUGUUUCUAAGAAGAACUAACAUCAGAAACAUCCGAAUCAUCAGAAUCCUCUAUUUCAGAAAAAAUUGAAUUUAUCAAAUGAAUCUUUGGCCAAUAACUCUUCGAGAAUGAUGUUAACAUCACGUGUAGGAAUGCUAUGUUUUCUAGGAUUUGACAUUUUCAGUGAUCGAGAAUUACUAUAUUUUAUAAACGGAGAUACCACUACUAAAAACAGAAUGCUAUAAAGAGUAUGAUGUCUUUUGUUCCAAAGUCGAUACACUAGAGUGAUGCAAAAAUAAUAAUAAAAUUAAGAUAUUUUGUGGCAAAGUUAUCUUAGGGUAAACACUGCAGCGGCAAGCACCACUGGAGAAUAUCCUCAGGGCAGAUGGGAAAGGGAAUGAACAUGCAUCUCAGAGGUGAGAGGAGCUGCUUCUGUAGCAGCCACCAUGGGGUUCCAUAGCUCACAUGCCAUUGGCACAACACAGAACCCUGAGCUGCAGAAUUGGCCCCUUAGCAUCCAGAAGACCAUGUGACAGGUGAUACCCCAAAUCAAUGAUGAGGAAUUGAACAUGGAGAUCCACUCAAGGACUGCAGGCCCUGUAAACAAACAAGUCAGGGACUGCAGCCCACUCUGUAGCAGUGGUCCUGGCCCUCUCAUGUUGCUCCUUUUGUGACUCUCUGGUCCUGCUCUGUUCCUGGAUCAACCCACUUCUAAUCAUCUCCAAUCUGUACCUUAUCCCUGACCCUGUAUGCUACACAUCCAUUAGCCUUCUGUUUCCUCAGGUUUUUAUUUAUUUGUUUAAAUUUAACAAACACAUUGAUCUUAGUACUUUACAAACAUGAAUCCCUACAAUGAUGAGACGAUGAGGUAAUCCUAGUGUUACCCCCACUUUGUAGGAAUUUGUCAUCACUUUUGCCUAUUAAUGUUCCUAGACACUGCAUAUAGCCAGCCUCUUGGGCAUCCAGCUAGUUCAGCGUCACUAUUAUCAGUCUUAUCAGUGCCUUUCUCAGAGCAGGGUUGGAUGGUACCCACUGUAUGGUAGCAAAAGAGCUCGAGCUUUUGGAGCUGGGCAGUCUGGGUUUGCACUUCAGGUUUCCCACAUACUAGCUGAGUGACUCUAAGCAAGUAAGGGUUUUCUCAUCUGUAAAGUAGGAAUCAAAUCUACCUUGGAGAGUCAUCCAGGAGGUUGAACAUCCAUAUGAAGAAAACCCUAGCACUGUGCCUGGAACAGAAAAGCGUUUAGGAAAUGAUAGCUACUGUUACUCCCCCAGGAGUAUAGAAAGUCCUGCUUGACUACAUUGCACACAGUUGAAACUUUAGAAGUAAAAGUGGCCUUCGAUUUUGGCUAGUUGGAUUCUUUCCUUUUUGAAUGAGGAAACUGAAGUCCAGAAAUCUUUAGACGUUUUUGAAGUCACCCGCUAAUUAACAAGAAAACAGAGGAAGAACUGAGGCCACCUGAUUCCUUACAGUGUUUUUAACUACCACCACACCCUGCCUCUUCUGAACUCGAAAGGCUCAAUCUCACAUGGGCAGAUCCCAAAACAGGAGAUGAUCUGUCAGACAAUGGAAGGCCCCAGCACAUUCUCCUCCUUCCAUUCAUUUUCCAGUAGAAGCAACUCUUUGCCUCAGACAUCUUCAGAUUCCGAGAUUAAUAAAGCUAUUGUUAAGAGACAAAUACACAGAGCUCUGCUACAGCUGCCUGCUUUUCAGUCACAGUGGUUUUUUGACUCAAUUCCUCCAAGCUUUGCAGAGGCUCAUCUUGUUUGAAAGAGAAAUGUGCCUUAAUCUCUUCUUUUCCUCCUUAUGUGAAUGGUCACCCCACUUGUAGGGCAAUAAAUGAUAUUGCUUUAGCUUAUAUUUAUCCUCUUCCAAUAAUUUACAGAUUGAAAUUUACUUCUUAGAGACAAAAAAAUAUUCCUGGGGCUGAAGCUGAACAAUCUGAUGUCUCUGGUAGCAGGAAUUUGGUUGUGGUAAUAUUGUUACCAUAUGGAUUAAUACGUAACUAUUGAAAACUGGGAUGAGAAUUCCAGGGCAUUUUACUGGGACCACCAAGAUGAUGAAUGACAUAUUCAAUUCUAAGGAACUGAAGUGAAGAAGAAUUCUGCAUUUUUAAAUUGGAGUAUCAUGUCAAAAUGAAAACCUUAUUAUAAAUAAAAGUACAUAUACACAUAGGAGCAAAACCUCUUCAGCUCUGGGAGGGAUCUAUGUGACACCAACAUAGUUAGAAUGUUUCAGAAUUAUUUAAAAAAACAAUGAAUCAGCACAGCUGUCAUCAUCAUUUAUUCCUUUCUUUCCCUAUAAUGAAGCACUGCUCCUUUUCCUCUCCCAAAUGAAAAUCAGUUGGGCAUGUCCUAGAAUAUUGAACUAUUUGGGGUUUUCAGGCCUUUUUGCUCAUGCCAUUUAUCACUGAGGCUACUGACUGGUGAGCAAUGGGUCCACCAUUGUGCUCUAAGGAGAUUUUUGUUUCAAGCACUGCUUUGUUUUAAGUUAGGUGUUGAAUGCGGCAUCAAAGGUAGGCAGGCAGACAUUCAGAGGCAGAUGUGGGCACAUUCCCAAAAGUUCAGUGCCAAGGGCCUUGUGUUUCUUAACAGAGGUGACCUGGAAAGAUUCCAAAAACAAGAUGAAAACUACAAAGUUGAAUUUGGUUAAAGGGAAGAAGAAAGGAAAGCAUUGAAAGCUUGAAUCCUGUUAACUUGAAAAGUUGAGUUCUGGUCUUUUAAAAGCUUCCUUCCAAAAUAGACCCGAAUUAGUUUAAUCUCUCGCCAAUUGUAGAUUUAAAUUUAGCUUCUCACACUUACUAAUCUUUUUAGCAGUGAAAAUAGCCAUUGUUGCUAAUAGGAAAUUGAUUUAGUAUUUUCUGUUUAUAAUGAACUUUUAGUUAACUUGGAUGGUUAAAACAAAGACCAUUGUUACUGAAUUUAUUAAUGGGUCCCUAGCUGAACAGAUGGAGGGAGAGUCACGGGUUAGGGCCAGCACACAGAAUCAGCCACAUUUGCACACAUCUUCCAUCACUUCCACUACUGCUGCUUUUCAUUUCAAGCACUGCUUUGUUUUAAGUUAGGUGUUUAGGAUGAAUUUUGGAUUUUGGACAAGUUGCUUAAUUUCUCUAAACCUCACUAGUGUCAUCUAUAAAAUGGGAAUGUUUUUGUGACAUGUAAGUGAGCAAAUGAAUACGAAGUAUAACACUUGCUACGUAAUGAGUAGAUUCUAAAAUUCUCUAGAAUUAUUCCAUUCAUUCUAUAACUCAUAGACAUGUUAAAUUGCAUAUAUUUGGAAAGAUCUGGAAGUAGUAUCAGGACCAACUGCAGACUUCCUUUUUACACAUGAAGUAAGUGAAAUAGAGUUGUCAGAUGCUUCACCUGGGACCACGUGGCCCGUAAGUCACAAAUUUGGCCAGAGCUAUGGUGAGAAUCCAGAUCUUUACUUUCUUUCCAUUGAACCUCAAAGUAGGUUCAAUGUAUAAGGCUAUUUUUAAUUUAACUGCCAUAAAAUAAUGAUUUUAUAGUGAUAUAAAAUGUGUAUUAUUACAGUGAUAUAAAACAUAACUCCUACAUAAAAUAACAACUACCAUUUAUUGAACGUGUAUUGCCAGUCAUUUUACUAAGUAUUUACAUAUAUUAUCUCAUUUAAUCCUCAUGUUGACCAUGAAGGCAAGUACUACUAUUGUACCUAUUUUUCAAAGUUGGAGAAAGUUAAACACAGGCAAUUUAAAUAAUUUGUCCAAAGUCAUACAUUUUACUAGUGGCAGAAACAUGGUUUGGAUUCAGGAAAUCCGUCCUUGGAGUCAGUGCUCUUAACCAUCACACUGACUGCAUUUGAAUAUUUGAAAAUGGGAAGAAGAUGAGGCACUUGAAUAUUUGAAAAUGAGGAGAAAAUGAGACUUAUGUGGAUUGUUAUCGCUCUCAUAUACAUGGGUGAACUUGGAAAACAAUGAGGGCAUGUUGCAAAGAACAGUAAAUUCAGAUAGCCACAUGUUGGUCAUCACAACUUUAUGGCUGCCUUUAAAUGACUCCCCAGAACACGUAGGUAGCUGUGUAGCUCUUAAGGAAGUUCAGGUGUCAGAUGCCCUCUUUUCAGGUGUCAGAAGCUCUGUUUUCAAAUGCUGCCUCUGUGUCUUUCUAGAAGACCAAACUUGUGUCCUCACACUUGUUGGGCUUUGGUUAUCUAUUUUAUUAAAAGAAUAUGAUAAACCUCAAGAUAUUAUUGGGAGGAUUUUAAAAGGUGUAAUGCAAUUGUGUGGCAUAUAAAACGGCCCCAGAGAGGGUCCCUGCCUUAGUGGAAAAUAUUUGGUAUCCUUUUCUAGUUUCCCUGAAUCCUCUACCAGCUUUAGAAAAUUACACCUAGUAACACAUUUACCCAUUUCCAUCGGGCUGGAAUCUAUUCAAGGCAAAAUGCAGUCAUUCCUGGGUCAGCCUGCCUGAGGCACAAGCCCUAAACACAAGACUGGACUGCAGACAAUGAUCCUCUCAAGGGUUGACUUAAAGGAGAUAAUUUCUACCCCACAAGCUUUUCAGAGCAUUUAGCUUUUGGAAGCACACGUCUGUUAGUUUGAGAGAUGCUUUCUAUUAGGUUGGUGCAAAAGUAAUGGCAAAAACAGCCAUUACUUUUGCACCAACCUAGUAUUUUUCUUUGAGGUUAGACCUCCAAAGACAAAGAUACACAAAAAAGCACAAUGUGUUGUUGGCCUGCAGUAACCCGGGCCUGAGCACAGCCAGAAAUGGAAAAAUACUCUCAAAGAGCUAGAGAAUGGGGAGCAGAUCUGAAAAGGGGUUUAACUAAUGUGGCAAAUGGCCCAGCACACACUCCUCUCUCCUGGUUUGUUUUGAUACAUCCCCACCUGGUCCCCAGGUGUGUAAGAACCACAAAAUACUCUUCAUGCCACUGCUCUGGGCCAGACUCAUGCAGUGGGAGCCAGGCUGUGCACCUCGGAACAAUGGCUUUAUUCUUUCAGGUGCCUGAAGAGAGGUCUGAAUGUAGAAGGAACUGCUGCUGCUAAGGGCAGGGGGGAAAAAGAGGUCAUAUACCUUGAGGAAUUUGGGCCCAAUGUAAAAAAUCAGGAAGUUGCAAGAUGCCAUGUCGAAAUGUGAAGCCGGUCCUUCCCUUCUAGCCUGUACCCCAAGUUUGAGAUAAUUGUGAAGGUGAAUUGGCUGCAUAUUGAGAAGGGAAAGGAGCAAGGAGAAAACUUUUUUUUUCUGUGAAAACCCAGAAGUUCAAGUCUAGAAAUACAAGGAAAUUGUCAGAACAGAAAGGUAGGGGGUGUUCUUGACUCCACACAAAGAUCUGUAGGAAUAAAGCAAGUUCUGGAGAGUUUCUUUUGGCGUUAAUUAUUUCACACUGGAAAUCAUCACAAAAUGGCAAAUUCUGGAAUUUCCACUUUUCCUUCACCUGAAGAGGGUAUACAUUUUUACUUUGGCCAGACAGAGACCUCAUGUUAUUAGAGACAGGGGUGAAUUGGAAAGAACAGUUUUCCACCUCACAGUUUUAUGGAAUUGGCAGGAAAACUUUACUAGUCUCAAGGCAAAAUACAGACUAUGAUAUUCUCAAAUUUUUCUAUUAGGAGAAAAGGUGGCAAGAACUUCAUAGAAUUUUGUCUGAGGAGAUUUGGCAAAGCAUCAUAUAGAUGUAUAUAUGAAAUUAAAUUUCUUAUAUGGAGCUUUUAGCUAUGGAGAAAACGAAUUGCAUCUCACAUAAAUGGGAUGAGACUUAGCUAUUUGUAACCUCGUUACAAUGAAAUAACUAAAAUUGUAAAGAGACAUUAAAUAAUAAUCUGCCUGCCUAAACAUGGGUUUUCUAGUUUGAAAUGAAUGCCUUGCAUCUAGAUUAAUAAGGUGACGCAAGACACUACAUCAUCUGGCAGGGGAAGAUUUAAAGCAGGUCAGGUUCCUUGGGAGGAGAGAAAAAUAACUUUUAAGAUGAAAGACCAAAAAAAAAAAGAAAAAAAAAAGAAAAAGAAAAACUUGUGUGUGGUCCAAACUUCUUUUUUUAAAAACAAUUUGCCAAAGGUGUUUAAGCUGCAUGGUGAUAGUUUUCUCAAAGUUUUAAUGAUUUACUUGCAAGGCAUGAUUAGUCAUAUCUUUGACCAGAUGAGGAACACAUAAAUAAAACCCCCUUUUUUUUUUAAUCUUUGGUGUUUAAUUCUGAGAGUAUUGGGAAAUGUGAUGAGAGAAGGUGCAUGUAAUAAUGCCUAUUUCCCAAGGAGGGUCGAGAGAGUGUUGGCAUUUGAUUGCACAUAAUUCUUUAAAAAUAUAAAUACUUAGUAAGUUUAGGCCAACAGGGGAAAGAACUCUGGCUAAAACAGGACAGACCUCCCAGAAAGCUUAAACUUGACCUUCUAAUAUCUGCUCUUGCAAUGGGUACACCAUGUAAGACCCUCUUAACCUGUGGCUCAGUCAAAUCUUCUAAUUAGGAAUAUUUUCUCUAUUUAUUGCCCUUUAAAAAUACAUGUGCUGGUCUUCCUGAAACCACAUUCUUUGAAGCAACCAAUGUGGUAUAGAGUAGCUUUAUCACCACAAAAUUAGAGAGACCUUUUAAAGAAAUACAUUUCUGUAAAUAUUCUUUUAUACUUCACUUGGUAGUUAGGGGGUAUAGACAGUGGUUUCAAAUAUCAGUGAUGACCUAGUUGUUUAAUUACAGUCAAUCACUCCGUAAUUUGUAGCUUCUUUUAGAGUCAUGAGAAAUAAUAGAUGGGAUUUCUUGUCCUAGUAGCUAUGUAGUGGCUAGGGUUUAACAAACUUUUUUUUUUAGUAUCUUAAGUUCAAAAUAUAUAAAAUAGAUGUAUUCUUUGUUCUUAUUUUAAAAUACACAGCUGUAGCUUCUAUAGUGUUAUCCUUAGUGCAUCUUCAAAUGGAAAACAAAUAGCAUAUACUAUAGAUACUGAUGCUAAUGAGAAAUCUCUUAACAUUGUAAGAAGUGUUUGGAAAAGGAAACAAACAGUGAAUUGUACAGGAUUUCAGGUGUUACUAUAUAUGGGGGAAAUGGCUCGAAAGGCAGAUACUGUAAGAUUUGGAAAUGAUUUGUAAGUAGUCUUUGGAUAAGGAUGUUGUUCUAAAUCUUCCUUCUACCCAUCCUACAGAUCAGUAUCCUGAGAACAUGUGCCAAGUCAAAUAAUUCCUCAAUUCAGCUGACCUAGUGUCCUAUUCUAGGCCUUGUUCUGUAUGUAACUGUCCCAGUGCAUGUCUUCUCUCUGGACAGCCAGCUUCUUCAGAAAAAUGGACUCCAAAACAACCAUUUUUAAGUUUCCCAUCUCCUGCUUUCCCUGCCGCCAAAUAAAUGAACAAAUCUCAAUCUGAGUAAAUCUCAGGAGUUAACAAUUGGUAAGAAAUGUAUCUCAGAAAAAUGGUGAUUAGAAUCAUGAAAUGAAGCUUGUUAAAUGUGUUUUGAGCCCGUUGGAAUGCAGGAGUUUUAUAAAAUACAAGAUGGUAUUGUUUUCCCCCGAAUGUGGGUGCCUCCAUGAGUUGUACUGUCGACAGGUUUACAUUUUACAGCAGUAUGUGAAUAGCAUGAGAAAAAACAAAACCAUCUGUAAUGUAUCUAGGGUUCUUUUCCAAUAAGUGUAUUUUUCGAUUAUAAGGAGCAUUAAAGUCACAUUAUAGAAAAUUUGGAAAAUAAAGAAAAGAACAGAGGAAUCAUCUAUAAUUAUUCAACUCCUAAAAUAACCACUAUUAAAAUGUUGAUGUAUUUCUUUUUAGUGUAUUUCACUUGGUAUAUUCUCGAUUUUCAACAACAGUUUUGUCAUUGAACAUUAAAUCUAAUACUUAUAUGAUUCCUUUUGAAAUUAGAAGUUGUUUUGUGAUAAAUGUCUUUAUGGCUGCAGGCUUUGGGGGGAAAUCGUAGGUUCUUGCAUUUAAAUGACUUUGAACUUAAUGAUGUGUUGUGCCUUAAAGCAAACAAUAGGGAAAUUAUAUUUUCAGCAUCUAGAGUUGUUUGUGUUACACUCCGAAGCCACUUCUUUUUUUCCAGCUUUUAAUCCCCUAGAGUACUUGAAGGAGCAGAACUAUGAGAAGCAACACCACACUAAUUUAGUUUUCAUGCAGAGAAAGACUCUAGUGCUGGAUUCAGAUAUUUUUGUGAGCAAAUAAAAAUCUCCGGAGACUUUGUAGCUUAGUGAAUAAAGGAUUGGCCUCCAACCAAACCCAACUAAAUGAAUUUGGUGGUCUCAGCUGAGUUUCCAGCAAGUUUUAGCCUGCAUUACAAAUUCAUCACGCACAAUUAUGUGCAAUUUGGCACAACUUCCAAUCCCUGCUUAGUAGAGGCCCUCUGUUUGGGACAGAAGGGGAGCAUAAAAUACUUCUUGUGCCUAGAGGGAGCAGUUCUCUUAGGUCAAGGUUGUGUUACAUAUGGAAAGGGAUGGGGUAGAAGUGUUGUCAAGCACAAAGAAUCUAGGAAUAUGUGGGUACUGAACAUUAGUUGUGUUUACCAUUUGAAAUUUCUCACUGUAAGGUUCUUCAUUCAAACAGAAGAUGACAGUUCUGACACCAGUGGGCACAUAGAUUCUCUCCCAGCUAAAACUGGAACAGUCCAUCAGGUGAACGCAUGCCCCAAACAAAUGCAGCAUGAGCUGUUACAAAACGCAGGGAGAGGAAUUGAUCCUUCCCACCAAAGAGAACCCUUUAUGCUGAAGGAGCUACAGACAUCCCGAUUGGUCUUGAUGGAAAACCCCUGUGGGUAGCGUGUGUCUCCUGCUAGUUCAUCUCCUCUGUCCCAGAAGGUGUGCUAGAAUAUUUGAGUAUUUAUGCGGUCUUCUCUAGACUGUUGAGUUCUUAUUCUGGCUGAAAUCAUGAAAAUGAAAUGCACUUGAAUGGGUGGAAAUGCUUUGGGGUGAAAUGAUAAUGUUUGUAUGUUUGGUUUAAAUAAUGAUGCUUACAUUGGACUUUCCCUUUAGGCUAAUCACUACAUUAAUUAUCUGGGUUUUCCAUUCAUCUUUUCCCUCAUGUUUAAAGUUUGAUUUUCUUCUUGCUGUCAAAAAUCAGUAGGUCUUUGUGUUUGGCUUUCUUACAGUAUAAUAGUAAUAUCAAUCAUGUCUACCAUUUAUUGAAUACCUACUUUGUCCCAGGUACUGUUUGGAUAUUUUAUCUUUAGUUUUUUGAGAAACUUUUGGGACAAAUAUUAGUCCUAUUUUAUAAAUGAUAAAGCUAUGGCUUAGAAAAGUUAAGGUUCUUGCCCAAGGCAUUAUGCCUAUUUUAGAAUAGGGCCUCACCUGUGUCUGGGACAUUGACUCCUUCACUACAUGCUGUGACAUAAUCCCACAUUGCUGGUUGAGAUUGGGUUAAUAGAACAGAAGCCUUCACUUGGAGAAGAAAGAAUUUUCUUCUUUUUCACAGAGAAGGAGACGGUUCCUUUAAUGAAAUGCGUGUAGAAAUGUGGAAUUUACACUUGAUGAAGGGCCAUGAUGUUACUGGCUCUGUAAAGAAGCAGGGAAAGAAAAAUGAGCCAAUUUUUAAAACUAUGUAUCACCGAGAACCCAUUUGGAGCAGGAGAGGGGGGAUUAGACUUUGAUUCCCUUCACAUGCUCCUGGUGAACUAUCUCACCGUCAUCAGUAAGGAUGAUUUUAAAGACAGCCAAGGGAUGAAAGAAAAACAUCAAUGUUUGCACCUUUAAUUUAAAGUGUAGUGGUUUUCGAUGUUUUCUUUUUCCCUUCCCUAGCAUGUAAAAUACUGUUUCUAGACAGGUCAAUGAAAUAUUUUUCCUGUACUACAUCUUGGCUUCUUCCUGAUUGCUUCUGCUUCUCCUGUAGCUGCUGGUACAAGAGAAUGAUAAAGCAGACUCAUGCAAUGAUUGUGUAGAUUGACUUGCUGCUAGAGAAUUUUGACCGGGGGCAGGUAGCAUGCUCUUCCUUGCAAAGUGCCUUGGAAAAUGAGUGGCUUUUAAAACCACUUACCGUGAUUAUGUGUGUGUUUUCUAGGCUGGCAAAUACAAAAGGGUGGCUCAAGUUCAGAGAUCUGUUAAGUCUUUAGGAUGUCAGUGAAGACUACGUCUUUCUGUAGUGAACUCUAGGAAUGGUUAUAUUACUAGUUGCCAAGCAUAUUGCCACAUCUCACAGUCUUAUCACAUGUGACCUUCUCAUUUAGAUUUGCUUGGAAAUUUUAAUUUUUCCAGAAUCCUGGCAGGAGAGAUAACUCCAAAAUGCAUGUCUAAAUAUAGCCACUUUUCCUUUCAACUGUGGUAAGAUUACGUUUUUCUUUUUUUAAUGGCGAGAACUGCUUUAGGGUGGGAAGAGUGUGAGGAAUGUUUGUUUUGGAGAACCUCUACUGGCACAUGGAGUCUUCGAGUACAGCAAAGAAAGAAAUAUCAGUAUCUCCAGAGAAACAAAGGAGCCAUAAAAUCCAGAGCCUGUUUAGAGGUAUGUUAAUGGCAGGAAGGAGACCAGGGCUUCAGGAUGUACCCUGAAUAUGUGUGAGACUGCAUUAUGAACGACAUCACAGUGUACUUCUUGUGGUUUUCUUGCAAUUACCCCUCAGCCCAACUGAACACCUACUGAAAAGAGAUCUCCACUAACAGAGUUCUAAGUUAUGAUGAACAAUGCUCAUUAUAACACAGCUCUGCGAGUCUGGUCCUCUGUACAGACUUCCAAAUGAUUUUCAGAUGCCAAAUUGAAGGAUGACAAAUAUACAGAGGGAACACGUGAAAACUGCAGUAAGAUCGCACUGAAACAGAACAUCAAACAAUAGAACAUCUGAAUAAAUGUGAAGUAAACCCUGUGUUCUCUCCUUAGACAUUUCUUUAAAUGAGGUAGAAGGGGACAGCUAGACUAGGAUCCAUUUCUGGCCCAACCAUGUACAUACCAUCCCUUUGAGAGUUUCUGAAAUGCACUAAGAUUAACUUUCCUAAUCUAUUAAUUCUAUAUUAUAGGACUGUGGGGUUUUGUGAGGGAAGGGAGUUAUUAAAUAAGGUAACUUAAAUUACAAAUGUCGCAAAGUCUUCUAUACUUUCUUGUAGCUAUUGUCUUUCCCUGACUCUUCAGGGAGUUUUCUGUAGACACUGCUUUUGGCUGUGGAGAAAGUGGUAAGGAGAGGACACUGUCACCCCGGGUUAAAGACUUUUUUCCUUUGAGUAUAUGUUUAAGGCAUUUGAGUACGUGUUUAAGGCCUUUCAUUUGCAAAAGGUAGGCCUAGGACAGAGAAAUAGUUCUCUGAUCAUGGGGUCAUCAGCUACCCACAGAGAUCAGCCAAGCCAACUCAGACCAGAACUGCCCAGCUGACCCCCAGAAUCAUCAGAAAAUUUUUUAAAGUGAUAAUUACUUUAAGCCACUGUGUUUCAGGGUUGUUUGUUACUGAGCAAUGAAUAACAGAUGUGAGGCUUCUCAGAUGAUGGAAGCAUCCUGGUUGACUGUCCCCUUGGACUAAGGUUAGAUCCUGAAUUAAUCAGAUCUUUGCCACAGCAAGACUAUUUUAAACUGAAAGACACUGUCCUACCUUGAGGCUACAAAUGAAAAGUAGUUUUUCUUCCAGCCAGUUAGAACUUGAGGGCCUGUGACGAGGCCAAGCUCAGGUAUGGAGGAAAAAUGUUACAUUCCUCUACUUUUGAAUACCUUUUUAUGAAAAUUGACAACAGUGCUCCUGAAACUUUACUGUACAUAUGAAUCACCUGGGGUCUGGUUAAUGCAGAUUCUGAUUCAGUAGGUCUAGAAUAGGCCCCAGAUUCUGCAUUUGUAACAGGCUGCCAGGUAAUGGUGAUACUGCUGCUCAUUGCUUUGUGGACCAUAUUUUGAGGCUUUACAUUACCAAAUGCUUAGUACCUGUAUUAGUCUGUUCUCACACUGCUAUAAAGACAUACUUGAGACCAGGGCUAUAAAGACCUGAUGCUGGGUAAUUCAAGAAGAAAAGAUGUUUAAUUGACUCACAGUUACAUAUGCUGUACAGGAAGUGUAGCUGGGGAGGCCUUAGG
Homo sapiens (human) is the source of this 12759-nucleotide long non-coding RNA. RefSeq lists it as uncharacterized. NCBI's taxonomy places the organism in Eukaryota, Metazoa, Chordata, Mammalia, Primates, Hominidae. The record is from RefSeq and is a predicted model, not a curated record. The transcript has 3 exons.